Long non-coding RNA from Rosa chinensis, 934 nucleotides. RefSeq lists it as uncharacterized. The transcript has 8 exons. The record is from RefSeq and is a predicted model, not a curated record. NCBI's taxonomy places the organism in Eukaryota, Viridiplantae, Streptophyta, Magnoliopsida, Rosales, Rosaceae.
CCAAGCUACUUCUGUUCUCUUUCCAUUCCACUCUCACUCUUCUCUUAAGCUCAGAAACACUUGAAACUGCUUGGUUCACUUUCAUCAAAGGUCGAAAAUCAGUAGCUACUUUAUCUCCAAGUCUUGCUUCUCAUCAUGUUAGGAGAACAAAUGGAAGACUUUGAGAUUUCAAACCACUGAGCUUCUCUCAAUUUUGCUUCAAUACCAGAAAUUUUAUUUCCUUUCGGAUCAAGGACUCAAGUGAAUUGAAGAGUGGUUCUGUGGUACUUGCUGGGAGUUACACAUCAAGGAUUCCAGGUAAUGUGCACGAAGUUGAAAGGGAGCAGAACUGAAGUGGUGGCUUUGGCAUUUUGCUGCUUGUCAACUCCUGCCUUUUGAGGUGAUCAAGAUGGAGGUUGACUAUCUCUGAAAUUUGAAAUGGGAAAUCCCAUUGUUCAUACAUACUUGAGAAAAUUCAUUGAUCUUGCUCAAGAGAGUUACUAAAAAACUCCUAAUAUGCAGUUUGAGGCUUUGAUUUACUACCUCAUCACAGAUCUAAGUGAAUUACAUAUGGUUUUAGUUUUGGCUACUCUUUUGAUUUUUCUAUGUUUUCGCUUUUGCUCUAUUCCUCCCUAUAACACUACGUUACUCAUCAUUAAUUCAAGGUAAACCCAUUCCUCACAAUCUACACUUGACUAGAAAUUUUACACUCCUCAUAAUCAUUUUAUCUGCAGGCUCACUGGCCAUUCCCUUCAAAUCAUAUUAUGGAGGGUUAUGUAUAUAUGCUCACGCACCCCUGAAUACCUUCCAUUUUCUAUGACCACUUCUAUGAUUCGGGUGAUUUCAUUCAUGAUCAGAUCGUGAAACUGGUACAGCAGUAUAGCUAGCUAGUUCCUUUAUUGACUUGUGUCUAGUAGAAGCUCUUCCUUCAUUAAGCAUUUGGACUUCCAGAUUA